RNAcentral lists this unclassified non-coding RNA (579 nucleotides) under Hevea brasiliensis (rubber tree). The record is from RNAcentral. Lineage: Eukaryota; Viridiplantae; Streptophyta; Magnoliopsida; Malpighiales; Euphorbiaceae.
AAAUUCUCCCCUGAAUCUCAGAUGGAGACAUCUGUUUCAAUUCUAGUUUCAUUCUCAUGUGUCGAGUAUUUUCGCCGGAUGCGAUUGCCAGAGUAUGUGGAAACAAUAAGGAGUGUGGUUGUGAGUGUACAGGAGAAUGAGAAUGCAUGCAACUCAUUUGUAGAAUCUAUGCCCUCUUAUGCUGAUUUGACAAAUCCUCAAGAACUGCUGACGAAAGUGGAAUAUAGAUGGUUCAAUGAUGAAGUGCAAACCGCCCGUAUUUUAUUUUACUUGCGGGUUAUUCCAACGUGUAUUGAACAAUUGCAUGGUCCAGUAUUUAGCAAGGUGGUAGCUCCAACUAUGUUCCUAUAUAUGGGACAUCCAGCCAGAAAAGUAGCUCAAGCUUCCCAUUCUUUAUUUGUGGCAUUUAUAUCUUCAAGGAAGGAUUCUAAUGAGAAUGAAAGAGCAUUAUUGAAGGAGCAACUAGCUUUCUAUUACCUGCAGAGAUCUUUAGAGGGAUAUCCUGGUAUUACUCCUUUUGAUGGUAUGGCUUCGGGAGUUACUGCAUUAGUUCGAAAUCUUCCUGCUGGAAGUCCAGCC